AUUGAACGCUGGCGGCAGGCCUAACACAUGCAAGUCGAGCGGAUGAAGAGAGCUUGCUCUCUGAUUCAGCGGCGGACGGGUGAGUAAUGCCUAGGAAUCUGCCUGGUAGUGGGGGACAACGUUUCGAAAGGAACGCUAAUACCGCAUACGUCCUACGGGAGAAAGCAGGGGACCUUCGGGCCUUGCGCUAUCAGAUGAGCCUAGGUCGGAUUAGCUAGUAGGUGAGGUAAUGGCUCACCUAGGCGACGAUUCGUAACUGGUCUGAGAGGAUGAUCAGUCACACUGGAACUGAGACA
RNAcentral lists this ribosomal RNA (296 nucleotides) under uncultured bacterium. Its description in RNAcentral is "partial 16S ribosomal RNA". It matches the Rfam family "Bacterial small subunit ribosomal RNA", at positions 30 to 326 of the family's 1533-position model. The record is from RNAcentral.